CGUAGGUGGCAAGCGUUGUCCGGAUUUAUUGGGUUUAAAGGGUGCGUAGGCGGUUUUCUAAGUCAGCAGUGAAAUACGGCAGCUCAACUGUCGAGGUGCUGUUGAUACUGGGGAGCUUGAGUACUGAUGAGGUAGGCGGAAUGGACGGUGUAGCGGUGAAAUGCUUAGAGAUCGUCCAGAACACCGAUAGCGAAGGCAGCUUACUAAGGAGUAACUGACGCUGAGGCACGAAAGUGUGGGGAUCAAACAGGAUUAGAUACCCUGGUAGUCCACACUGUAAACGAUGAUUACUCGAUGUGUGCGAUACACAGCACGCGUCUUAGCAAAAGCGAUAAGUAAUCCACCUGGGGAGUACGCCGGCAACGGUG
RNAcentral lists this ribosomal RNA (368 nucleotides) under uncultured organism. RNAcentral describes it as "bacterial SSU rRNA". It matches the Rfam family "Bacterial small subunit ribosomal RNA", at positions 526 to 896 of the family's 1533-position model. The record is from RNAcentral.